AUUGAACGCUGGCGGCAGGCCUAACACAUGCAAGUCGAGCGGAUGAAGGGAGCUUGCUCCUGGCUUCAGCGGCGGACGGGCGAGUAAUGCCUAGGAAUCUGCCUGGUAGUGGGGGAUAACGUCAGGAAACGGGCGCUAAUACCGUAUACGUCCAGAGGGAGAAAGUGGGGGAUCUUCGGACCUCACGCUAUCUGCUGAGCCUAGGUCGUAUUAGCUAGUUGGUGGGGUAAAGGCUUACCAAGGCGACGAUCCGUAACUGGUCUGAGAGGAUGAUCAGUCACACUGGAACUGAGACACGGUCCAGACUCCUACGGGAGGCAGCAGUGGGGAAUAUUGGACAAUGGGCGAAAGCCUGAUCCAGCCAUGCCGCGUGAGUGAAGAAGGUCUUCGGAUUGUAAAGCACUUUAAGUUGGGAGGAAGAGCAGUAAGUUAAUACCUUGCUGUUUUGACGUUACCAACAGAAUAAGCACCGGCUAACUUCGUG
This 484-nucleotide ribosomal RNA is filed under the name uncultured bacterium. RNAcentral describes it as "partial 16S ribosomal RNA". It matches the Rfam family "Bacterial small subunit ribosomal RNA", at positions 30 to 507 of the family's 1533-position model. The record is from RNAcentral.